GUCGACGAGAACGGGUAUUAGCUUGCUAAUACUGUCAGCUAAGUGGCGCACGGGUGAGUAAUAUAUAGUUAACCUGCCCUAGAGAAGGGGAUAACGUUUGGAAACGGACGCUAACACCCUAUAUGCCUUUAAUACAUAAGUAUGCAAGGGAAACAUUUAUGGCUCUAGGAUGGGACUGUACGGUAUCAGUUAGUUGGUGAGGUAAUGGCUCACCAAGACAAUGACACCUAACUGGUUUGAGAGGAUGAUCAGUCACACUGGAACUGAGACACGGUCCAGACUCCUACGGGAGGCAGCAGUGGGGAAUAUUGCACAAUGGACGAAAGUCUGAUGCAGCAACGCCGCGUGGAGGAUGACACAUUUCGGUGCGUAAACUCCUUUUAUAUAGGAAGAUAAUGACGGUACUAUAUGAAUAAGCACCGGCUAACUCCGUGCCAGCAGCCGCGGUAAUACGGAGGGUGCAAGCGUUACUCGGAAUCACUGGGCGUAAAGAGCGUGUAGGCGGAUUAAUAAGUUGGAAGUGAAAUCCUAUGGCUCAACCAUAGAACUGCUUUCAAAACUGUUUAUCUAGAAUAUGGGAGAGGUAGAUGGAAUUUCUGGUGUAGGGGUAAAAUCCGUAGAGAUCAGAAGGAAUACCGAUUGCGAAGGCGAUCUACUGGAACAUUAUUGACGCUGAGACGCGAAAGCGUGGGGAGCAAACAGGAUUAGAUACCCUGGUAGUCCACGCCCUAAACGAUGCACACUAGUUGUUGCGAGGCUAGACCUUGCAGUAAUGCAGUUAACACAUUAAG
Molecule: ribosomal RNA, 791 nt
Filed under: Campylobacteraceae bacterium ACEMC 7-6
Lineage: Bacteria; Pseudomonadati; Campylobacterota; Epsilonproteobacteria; Campylobacterales; Campylobacteraceae
Description: bacterial SSU rRNA
Rfam family: Bacterial small subunit ribosomal RNA
Source: RNAcentral